UGGGGAAUUUUGGACAAUGGGCGAAAGCCUGAUCCAGCAAUGCCGCGUGUGUGAAGAAGGCCUUCGGGUUGUAAAGCACUUUUGUCCGGAAAGAAAUCCUCUGGGUUAAUACCUCGGGGGGAUGACGGUACCGGAAGAAUAAGCACCGGCUAACUACGUGCCAGCAGCCGCGGUAAUACGUAGGGUGCAAGCGUUAAUCGGAAUUACUGGGCGUAAAGCGUGCGCAGGCGGUUUUGUAAGACGGAUGUGAAAUCCCCGGGCUUAACCUGGGAACUGCAUUCGUGACUGCAAGGCUAGAGUAUGGCAGAGGGGGGUAGAAUUCCACGUGUAGCAGUGAAAUGCGUAGAGAUGUGGAGGAAUACCGAUGGCGAAGGCAGCCCCCUGGGCCAAUACUGACGCUCAUGCACGAAAGCGUGGGGAGCAAACAGGAUUAGAUACCCUGGUAGUCCACGCCCUAAACGAUGUCAACUAGUUGUUGGGGAUUCAUUUCCUUAGUAACGUAGCUAACGCGUGAAGUUGACCGCCUGGGGAGUACGGUCGCAAGAUUAAAACCUCAAAUGAAUUGACGGGGUCAUAGCUGUUUCC
This 585-nucleotide ribosomal RNA is filed under the name uncultured bacterium. Its description in RNAcentral is "partial 16S ribosomal RNA". It matches the Rfam family "Bacterial small subunit ribosomal RNA", at positions 355 to 937 of the family's 1533-position model. The record is from RNAcentral.